This 1270-nucleotide long non-coding RNA is filed under the name Chinchilla lanigera (long-tailed chinchilla). Its description in RNAcentral is "lncRNA (ENSCLAG00000024557.1)". Lineage: Eukaryota; Metazoa; Chordata; Mammalia; Rodentia; Chinchillidae. The record is from RNAcentral.
CUUAGAACUGAUUACUGACUCUAUGCAUUUAAAUAAGUGGAGUAAUCAUAGCAUUUUAAAAGUUGUUAUUAAUUUCAUCAUUAUACAUACCAUAGUAAAUCUAAAAUAAUUAUAUAAUGCGAAAAGAAAGAAAAGAAAAAAAUAUGUUUUUCUUCAUCAGGAUUAAUACUAUGAAUCCAGAAUACAUUUAUUAUUUUGCAGUAAUAAGGUGAAUAUUUAAUUCUUCAAAAGAUCCAUCAGUGAAAGAGGCAGAAUUUCUCUCUUCAUUUAUCAAAGACACAGUCUUACAUAACCUAAGAAGGCCAUGGAGGCGACAGUUUCAUCACCUUCAUCUAACCAAGGUAACUGCUUGGCCUGCGCAUGUUGUGCUGAGAAUAAUUGUAGAUCACACCAUUGUUGACAGAAAUGAAUGUGGAAGUAAAAGAAAAGAAUGUGGAGUAAGGAGUUCAUUCUUUCCAGCGGUGAGCUGGGACAGGGGCAAGGACUGCCUGUGGUGACCUGUAUCCAUGUUCCUUUCUAGGAAGUGCAGGACAGGGUUCCAUUUUCCAGGCCUACUGAAGGUAGGCGUGUCAUGUGACUAAGUUCUAGGAAUAUGUGUGAAGUUGAUGUGUACCACUUUCACUCUGGACCUCAGAAACAGGCCAUGUUAGAUCUUCUCUCUUUUUCUGUUCUUCCCAUGUUCACAGCCAGCUUGAAAACAGGACAGAGCCACCAGCUCUAAAUGGUGAAGGUCUCUGCAUGACUGGAGAUAUCUGCCUCUCUCUUAUCUCACUGCCAUGUCUUGAUCUGUGCCGUGCAGGAGACAUGAGGUUACAUCGUCAAGAGUCACUGAGAUUUCUAGUACGUCUGUCACAGCAACCAGCAUUUUUAUCUUAGUACAGAAAUGCACAUGCUGUCAUAAAUAGAAUUUAAAAUAAUAUGGGCUGAACAGUAAGCCAGCAAGCUGGGAGAAAGCAGUUUAUCAAGAGGUAACAAGGUAAGCUAGUCCUGUUCUGUGGCAAAACAUUUGUAGAACUACUACCUGUGAUCAUCUGGAAGGCUGAACGUAUGACAUCAAAUAAGUAACCCAAAAAAAUGUUUGGAAAGAUUCGGAGGCAUAGGGUGAAUUUUAUAUCAUUGACCACUUUUAGUACGCUGUUACAUGAAAAAGAUAAGUUCAGAUAAUAAUUGCCUAGCUUGCUUCAAGGAUGAAAAAGGAUAUAAAGUAAAUUCCAAAUGUUGGGACUUUGAAUAUUUAGAAAAUCUCACUGCUUCUGGACAUCAACCAAUG